Molecule: small RNA, 150 nt
Filed under: Candidatus Enterococcus dunnyi
Lineage: Bacteria; Bacillati; Bacillota; Bacilli; Lactobacillales; Enterococcaceae
Description: Enterococcus sp. 9D6_DIV0238 Listeria sRNA rli38
Rfam family: Listeria sRNA rli38
Source: Rfam by way of RNAcentral
UUUGAGUGGGAGUAAAGAGCCAACAUAAUGAGGAUGGGGAAUACGAUAAAUCAAUGUUUUUCAACUUAUGAAAUGUUUGAUUUUCAUUGAAAAUGAUAUGUUUCCCUGCCAACAACCCGUGUCAGGAUAACACUUGACAAGGGUUGUUUU